CCUAGGGACAGGGCGGGCAUUUUUUCCGUAAAGAAUUGGCUUCUCCCUGAUGAGCCGUGUGCUUAGGUGCAGGUCCUGGGCUUCCCCCGUUACCACCUAGGCCUGCGUAGUACUUCUCACCAUAGGAUCGGCUCUCUCCUUGUCAAGGGUCGUGACCUGACUCAAGCCUUCCCGGUGACCUAGGGCACCUAUCAACUUCAGGACUAGCUACACCACGCAAUUCCGCCUGGUGGCCAAACAUCUCCCUUACCGGACCGGCCGUCCAGCUUUCCUGCACUGCGUUCCCGCUCCAGCAGCGGGCCACACCCCCUGCAGCCCCGGCCCCGCCCACCUUGGUUUCUGGAGCACUUCCGGUCGGUAACCCGGGUCAAGGGUCCCCGGCCGAGGACCAGGGCUUGCCCGUCCGAGGGCAGGAAGAUGGGGGGCGCACUCCCAGGGGGGCUCUCCAGCCACAGGCGGCCCUGGGGCUCCACCUCGGCCAUCCCUAGCGCCGGCCUAAGGGGAAGUAGGUAAACAGGUUUGAUUGACAGAACGCCCUCAAAUUGCCACAGGAAGUCCCUCCUCCUCCCUCCCCGUCCACCAGGAAUUUCCCUUCUUCCGCUGAAGGGCCCGGAAAUCCCACCCUCUUGCCGGCCUCAGGCUCGCGCCGUUUCCCAGGCGACGACGCCCCGCUCAGUCUUGCAGCGAGCCCGGACCCCUGCGUCCGAAGGCAAAAGCCAAGAACCUCGCGCGCGCCCUCAGCCCGGCCCACGCUCACCAUGCCGGACCGGGGCUCACCUGCCACUUGCGACCAGGGAAGUCCGGCCCGAGGCGCUCUGCCCGCAACUCCACCGGCUUCUUUCUCUGUUUCUCGGCGGACGGAAAUGACUCGUCGUACGGGAGGGGGCAGGGCCUUGGCUCCUCCCACUACAGGAGCCCCGCCCCUCUCCAGACCUGCCCCUGUGGUCCUCCGGUGCUCUGACCUUCAUCUCUCCCGCAGCAAUGGACGGCUCGGGCCAGUAGGGGGUGUGGGUCUUCUUUUCGCAGAUUUUCUUUCCACGUUGAACUCUGUAACAUUCAUUCCCUUAGUUAUAGCGGGAGAAACUUUUUUUCCAUUUGAUGAUCAUUGCCAGUCCAAGAAAUCUCCUCCCCCGACAGCAGCCCUGACCCUCAAUACUUCGAUUUUCUCAUCUGUAAAGUGGGGAUAAUCGUUUCCAUUCAUGGGGUUACUAGGAAGAUUAAAAGAGUUAAUACAUGUUAAUAACUUUAUAAAAUUGUUUGGCUGGUA
Molecule: long non-coding RNA, 1267 nt
Organism: Felis catus (domestic cat)
Lineage: Eukaryota; Metazoa; Chordata; Mammalia; Carnivora; Felidae
Exons: 2
Source: RefSeq, a predicted model, not a curated record